CUAAUUAUACGCACUAAUAAAAUUAGCACUCAAACCGUCUGUAGUUUUCGGAUCACACCGUCAUUUAGAUCGCUAACCGACCUUUUAAUUUAAAAAGAUAUUUAAAAAUUAAACAUUGAUGUCACAUAUGACUCAGAUAACAAAUAUUAUUUAUUCUGGUUUGAACAUUAAAAAAAAAUCUAAAAAAAACAAAGAACAACAACUACCACUUGCCUAUUUAA
This 221-nucleotide long non-coding RNA is filed under the name Linum usitatissimum (flax). RNAcentral describes it as "long non-coding RNA (LUSI_LNC002891)". Lineage: Eukaryota; Viridiplantae; Streptophyta; Magnoliopsida; Malpighiales; Linaceae. The record is from RNAcentral.